GGUCUGCGUCCUCUCCUGAGCCCCGUGUUGUCUGUACGCGGGGCGAUCGGAGUCGCAGGCAGAUUGAAUCGCAGAGGAAGCCGAGAUAUCGCUGUGAAAAGACCAGACAAGCCGAUGUGCCAUAUUCCUCUCACACACACCGCCUCUGUUGUCACGGAGAUGAUGGCUGCCCCGUGUCGUCAUCCACCGACUAACAGACAGAUAAUCGCAGAGCGAUAUUAUUACCAGAAUGAAGACUUCUGAUAAAUACUGUGACCCUGCGACAUUC
This is a non-coding RNA of Rana temporaria (common frog), 268 nucleotides long. The record is from RefSeq and is a predicted model, not a curated record. Lineage: Eukaryota; Metazoa; Chordata; Amphibia; Anura; Ranidae.